ACUCAGGUAGUUUAAAUAAAACACCGGUCUUGUAAGCCGAAAACCGAAGAUUAAAAAUCUUCUCUGAGUU
Molecule: transfer RNA, 70 nt
Filed under: Salamandra algira (North African fire salamander)
Lineage: Eukaryota; Metazoa; Chordata; Amphibia; Caudata; Salamandridae
Description: tRNA-Thr
Rfam family: tRNA
About the family: Transfer RNA (tRNA) molecules are approximately 80 nucleotides in length. Their secondary structure includes four short double-helical elements and three loops (D, anti-codon, and T loops).
Source: RNAcentral